RNAcentral lists this ribosomal RNA (3528 nucleotides) under Triticum aestivum (bread wheat). RNAcentral describes it as "partial small subunit ribosomal RNA". The record is from RNAcentral. Lineage: Eukaryota; Viridiplantae; Streptophyta; Magnoliopsida; Poales; Poaceae.
AUGUUGGCACGGCAGUACCGGUCGGAGAUGGUACGGCACGGCGGCGCCGACGCAGGGGCUGCGCGGGAGGGAUGCACCCACCUAGUCGUCAGCGGACUCGUCGACGACGACCCGGUGUGCGUGGCGGCGCGGAAGGACGGUAGGAAGGUCGUGACUGGGCUGUGGGUGGACGACUCCGUGGAUCUCGGAGCCAUGGUUGAUGCCGAUCAUGUACUGUAUAGGCCAGUGAGAGAUUUGGAAGACAUACCGGGUGCUGAAUCGCUGUGCAUUUCCUUGUCGGGCUACCAAAGACAGAACGGGCGUGAAGCCAUAAUGAAAAUGGUUAAUAUGAUGGGAGCGCGGUUCUCCAAGCCUUUGACAACGAAAACGACUACCCAUCUCGUCUGCUACAAAUUCGAAGGUGAGGAGUACGAGCUUGCUAAAAUGGUGAAGAUUAAUAUUAUUAAUCACCAGUGGUUGGAAGACUGCUUAAAGGCAUGGGACAUUCUUCCUGUUGAUAAUUAUACUGCCAGAAGUUGUUGGGAAUUGGAGAUAAUGGAGGCAGAAGCUAAAGAUUCCGAAGAUGAAGCACAAAGUUCUGAUAGAGGCUUGUCUGAUAGCAGAGGCAGAACUCCUGCUGAUCUUUAUGGUCACAUACCCAUUAAUGGUCCUUCUGUCUUCUAUGGCAAUGCAGAUGUUCCUGCAGGAACACAUGUCGGUGCUUUGCAACAGAUUAGGGAAGUGAAAGAUGCAAGUGAAUGGUCAGUUGAUGUCAUGGCUGACACACUGAGCACCCCAAACACCAAUGUUGGGACAAUUUCUGCUGAUCCUGAAGCCCAUGCACAUGCACCACAAACUGAUAAAGUUGAAGUUGUAGCUGCAGACUCAGAACAUGACAAGUUGGUUUCUCAUAAAACCUUUGAAGCAGGCCCUAUGGAGAUCCCAAUCACUGCAGUCCCUGGUGAAUUUGGAGUAUUUUCCCAGGAAGUAUCAACUUCGCAACAGAUUAGGGAAGUGGAAGAUGCAAGUGAAAGGUCACUUGACGUCAUUGCUGACAUACUGAACACUCCCAAAACAAAUGGUGUAGCAAUUUCUGCUAAUCCUGAUGGCAAUUUACCUAUCCAUGGUCCUACUGUCUUCACUGGCAAUGCAGAUGCAGUGGUUCCUGCAGGAAGACGCUUGGAGACUUCACAGCAGAUUAGGGAAGUAGAAGAUGUCAGUAAAAGGUCACUUGAUGUCAGAGCUGACAGACUAAGCACUCCAAACACAAAUGUUGUGACAAUUUCUGCUGAUCCUGAUGCCCAUGCGCAUGCAUCACAAGCUGACAAAGUUGAAGCUGUAGCCGCAGACUCAGAGCAUGACUCAAUGGGUUCUCGUGCAACCUUCCAAGCAGGCCCUAAGGAGAUCCCAAUUACUGCAGUCCCUGGUGAAUUUGGAGUAUUUCCCCAGAAAGUAUCAACUUCUAGUGUGAGAAAUCUUGGUGCCAAGAGGUCACAGAUUCCUGAGGAUGAAACGGCUGCUGUAUCUGUACAUAGUAACUGUGACCUUGCUGCUUACAAGUCCAAGCAUGGUAAAGUUCUUUCCAAUGGCAGUGUCGAAGCAGAUCUUGGAAAGAACUGUAGCCUGAAUGCUGCUGAAAGCACAACAUUCGUGCCUGAAGAAAUCUUGAGCAGAUCAAGGAGCGCAGUUGCUAAGAGCCCACUCAAAUCCAACAGUCAGAUGAAUGAUGCGAUAGUGGUUUACAAGAUGAAGCCUGCUAAUAUGAAUAUGGAGGAAAACCCUACAACCAGCGCAUGCCCAACCGCUGGUAAAACCGAAAGAGUAUCUUUCGAGUUAAGUUUUCUUGAGGCGGUGAGUGCAGAAGGUUCCACUUCAAAGGUUUCAAGCAGUGCAACUGCAGAUAACUCUGAAACAUGUAUCCCCAAAAGAGUCCUGAAGCCCAAGAGGAGGAGAGUAUCUUCUUUCCAAGAAGGGAGAUCUGACAGUGAGGCUUGCAGAACAGUUAGUGUCUUAUCUGAAGCAUCAACGUUGCCUGCAGAGAGUUCCACAAAUGCUGGCAUGGUGACAGUGUACAAGGGUCUCCACAAUGCUGAUGAAGCCUGCGAAGAUAGACCAGAAGAUUUGCAAAGCUCUAAACCUAGAAGCAGAAAGAGACAGAAAACUGACCACAAUAACAAGGAAAACAUACCAGCCAAUACUAGUCUCGCUCCUAAAUCAAAACAUGGGGAAAAACGUGUGAGUUCUGAAUGCGCCAGAAUAGCUGUAGAGAAUUACAAAUAUGUGAUUGAUGACCGCAGUAUGACAGGGGGAAAUGAUGAUGGAUCCUUGGCCAUGUGGGAACCAGAACCUACAUGGUUUAUUUCAAGUGGGCAUCGCCUGUUGAGAAAGGAGUGCAGGUCAAUAUUUCUACGCCUGAAGGGAAGGAUCUGCUGUCCCUCACACCACUGGUCUUUCCAAGCGACACAUUUUAUCACCCCUGAGCUCCGCAGAACCGAAAAAUUCUUUGCAGCUGCUGCAGCUGGGAGGUGGAUACUGAAGCCUGAGUACUUGUUUGCUUGCAAUGAGGCUGGCAAGCUAGUGGAUGCAGAAUCAUUCGAGUGGCAUGGUGACGGCCUUAACGACAACCAAACAAUAAGCCUGGACGCUUCGAGGAAAUGGCAGCACCUGAAGCAGCGCGCCGGCCAUGGCGCCUUCUAUGGGAUGCGGAUCAUCAUAUAUGGAGAGUGCAUUUCUCCAUCAUUGGACACCCUGAGGCGUGCAGCGAGAGCCGGUGAUGGCAUGAUCCUGGCCACUGCCCCGCCUUACACACGGUUCCUGAAGCUGGGCGCGGUCAGCUUCGCGGUUGUGUCUGCGGGCACGCCAAGCAGCAACACGUGGGUUCAAGAGUUCAAGAGCCACGGGAUCCCGUGCGUGAACCCGAGCUAUCUGGUGGACUACAUGUGCAAGCCCAGCCACCUCGAGCAGCACAAGCACGUCCCCUUCGACAUGCAGGACCUGGCUGACGAGUCCCUGCGGAAGGUGCUGUCGAGCCAGGAGGGAGGUGAUGCCGAGCAGAGCUGCAGCUCCGGCAGAAUGGUGGUGGUUGCUAUGCCCAAGAACAUGCAUGGAUCACUCCAUUGUAUUGAAAAUGCAAGUUCUAACAAGAAAACUGUGCAAAUACUAAUCGACAACGGCAGGCCUACUUCGACUCUCAAUGUCGAAUUGGACGAGCCCUCCAGAAAUAUGGUGGAAAAUUACAAGAUGAAAUCAAAUUGGAACUACGCAGACUUCUAUUUCUCCUACAAGAACAAAAUUAUUCUUCCUGGUCGAACAUUAAGAUCAUAUGGCAUUUCCAAGGGAUGUACAAUCGAUCUCUACACCAGAGUGAGAGGUGGAAGAUUAUCUUUUAUGGACUAUGUUGAGGAAUACAAGGCUAGUUUCACAGAAAUUGCCAAGCUUCCUGAUGGGAAUCUUUCGUUGAAAGUGCCUAUUGGAGGAUGUAUAUUUCUUUCAUCCUUCCUAUCAUGCGUCAUGGCUACAUGGUCGCAAAACAGGUCUUGGAAUGGCUAG